GGGCUCACACAAGCGGUGGAGGAUGUGGCUUAAUUCGAGGCUACGCGAAGAACCUUACCUAGACUUAACAUGUUUGAGAAUCUCUGUGAAAGCAGAGAGUGCCUUUCGGGGAACUCUUACGUAGGUGCUGCAUGGCUGUCGUCAGCUCGUGUCGUGAGAUGUCGGGUUAAGUCCCUUAACGAGCGAAACCCUUAUCUUCAGUUGCCAGCGAGUAAUGUCGGGGACUCUGGAGAGACUGCCGGUGUUAAACCGGAGGAAGGUGGGGAUGACGUCAAGUCCUCAUGGCCCUUACGUGUUGGGCUACACACGUGCUACAAUGGUAUCUACAACAGGAAGCAAGACUGCGAAGUUAAGCAAAUCCCUAAAAGAUACCUCAGUUCGGAUUGCACUCUGCAACUCGAGUGCAUG
This 408-nucleotide ribosomal RNA is filed under the name uncultured bacterium. Its description in RNAcentral is "bacterial SSU rRNA". It matches the Rfam family "Bacterial small subunit ribosomal RNA", at positions 917 to 1322 of the family's 1533-position model. The record is from RNAcentral.